GGCCUCAUUUAAGGCUGACUGCCACUGAGCAAGGCUCUUUUUCUGGACAUCCCUUCUUGGUGGAGCUUUUCCCUGUGAACCUAGAUCUUUGGAGAUAGAAAGAAAACAGAACAGACACAUAUCUGAAUGCAAAGAAAUAACCUCUUAUAUACUACUGUUUAUUGCAUGAAAACUAGGUCCCGGAUGUUAUGGAAAAUAAAUAGUUCCACAAAUCUAUAGAAGUGCUUCACCAGACAGUGGCGAUUUCUCUAAGGGUAUCCAGCUCUCUAUACCUGCUCAUUCAGGACUAUUAGACCACCUAGGAUGGAGGAAGACCGCUCAGCACUUUAAACAUAGUAAGACACAGCAUAUGAUGCUGCUACAAAAUGAGUCAUACUGGUGAAAUAGUCUGCUCCAAUGGAGUAGCUCUAGUUCUGUCACAAUCUUGAUCAAAGGGAGUCUGUCUCAUUGCUUGGUCGUGGCUGGAUGGACACUCACUUUCUGACCAUGCCAGAAGAGUUUAGCCAACCCAUCUGUUUCUAAUUCAAGACUUGUGGUCCAGAAAUAUGAGUGGUUACAUGAAAGAAAUUGAACUUGCUGUACUAAUUUAUGCUUGUACAAAAUACAGAGGAUGGUACUGGUGGAUCUAAAUAAAAACCUAAUUAAUGGAUUAAUGGUGGUAGUGCUUCUGUUGUCUUUUUAAUAGAAAA
Long non-coding RNA from Numida meleagris (helmeted guineafowl), 689 nucleotides. RefSeq lists it as uncharacterized. The transcript is spliced from 3 exons. NCBI's taxonomy places the organism in Eukaryota, Metazoa, Chordata, Aves, Galliformes, Numididae. The record is from RefSeq and is a predicted model, not a curated record.